UAGGGAAUCUUCGGCAAUGGGGGCAACCCUGACCGAGCAACGCCGCGUGAGUGAAGAAGGUUUUCGGAUCGUAAAGCUCUGUUGUAAGAGAAGAACGUGUGUGAGAGUGGAAAGUUCACACAGUGACGGUAACUUACCAGAAAGGGACGGCUAACUACGUGCUAGCAGCCGCGGUAAUACGUAGGUCCCGAGCGUUGUCCGGAUUUAUUGGGCGUAAAGCGAGCGCAGGCGGUUUAAUAAGUCUGAAGUUAAAGGCAGUGGCUUAACCAUUGUUCGCUUUGGAAACUGUUAAACUUGAGUGCAGAAGGGGAGAGUGGAAUUCCAUGUGUAGCGGUGAAAUGCGUAGAUAUAUGGAGGAACACCGGUGGCGAAAGCGGCUCUCUGGUCUGUAACUGACGCUGAGGCUCGAAAGCGUGGGGAGCAAACAGG
This 429-nucleotide ribosomal RNA is filed under the name bacterium. RNAcentral describes it as "partial 16S ribosomal RNA". It matches the Rfam family "Bacterial small subunit ribosomal RNA", at positions 355 to 776 of the family's 1533-position model. The record is from RNAcentral.